This 355-nucleotide long non-coding RNA is filed under the name Fukomys damarensis (Damara mole-rat). Its description in RNAcentral is "lncRNA (ENSFDAG00000033033.1)". Lineage: Eukaryota; Metazoa; Chordata; Mammalia; Rodentia; Bathyergidae. The record is from RNAcentral.
AGCAGAGGUCUGAAACUAUUCUUGACUCUUUGUUUUUUUUUUUAACGGGGAAAAGGAGACAAGAAGAAAAAAGAAAAAAGAAUAAAAGAAAGUAAAUGCUGUUAAAACCGUAAUCGUGUUGGGGCAUUAUGACUUCAGUUGUGAACACGCGUCGCUUCUCGGUGGGAGAGCAGAUGGGAGGGCCGUGAAGGAAGCAAGCAGAAAAACAGGACGCACAGAAAUGAUACAGUUGACCACAAUUCUUUUCUGCAAGAACAUACACAGGAUUAGGGAAACUCGGAAUUGGAGAUAUUAGUGUUGUAUCUGAGGGCCCAGAACUAGUAAAAUGGAAAAUGGAGCAAUGGGUAUCACAGCC